This is a long non-coding RNA of Syngnathus acus (greater pipefish), 252 nucleotides long. RefSeq lists it as uncharacterized. The record is from RefSeq and is a predicted model, not a curated record. The transcript has 3 exons. NCBI's taxonomy places the organism in Eukaryota, Metazoa, Chordata, Actinopteri, Syngnathiformes, Syngnathidae.
GCGCCAGCUGGGCCCAGCGUGAAAACUGAAGAACCCGCUGGCAGAGGUCGCGGGUCCACGCUGCCAGGGGCUUGAGCGAGGGCGGCGGGACUCUGGCGUCGUACAUGCAGUUGAAGGUCUCCUCCAAGCUGGAUGACAUCACCACCAAGCCUUUGAUUCCCUUCUCCAGCUCCAUGGCCAAGACGGGCACACCAGAGGAAGCAGCACAAUGAACGACUACAGUGCGUUGUUUUGCUAAAUAUUACAGAGGGC